Molecule: ribosomal RNA, 500 nt
Filed under: uncultured eukaryote
Lineage: Eukaryota
Description: SSU rRNA
Rfam family: Eukaryotic small subunit ribosomal RNA
Source: RNAcentral
AUGUCUCAGAUAGCCAUGCAUGUCUCAGUAUAAGCUUCUAUACGGCGAAACUGCGAAUGGCUCAUUAAAACAGUUAUAGUUUAUUUGGUGGUCAGCAAUUACAUGGAUAACCGUGGUAAUUCUAGAGCUAAUACAUGCGCCCAAACCCGACUUCGUGGAAGGGUUGUGUUUAUGAGAUACAGAACCAACCCAGGCUCCGCCUGGCCUUGAGGUGAUUCAUAAUAACCGAACGAAUCGCAUGGCUAUGCCGGCGAUAGACCGUUCAAGUUUCUGACCUACCAGCUAUCGUCGGUAGGGUAUUGGCCUACCGUGGCAAUGACGGGUAACGGAGAAUUAGGGUUCGAUUCCGGAGAGGGAGCCUGAGAAACGGCUACCACAUCUAAGGAAGGCAGCAGGCGCGCAAAUUACCCAAUCCUGACGCAGGGAGGUAGUGACAAGAAAUAACAAUACAGGGCAUACAUGUCUUGUAAUUGGAAUGAGUAAACUUUAAAUCACUUUAC